UGUUUCACAUCGCUCUGCUUUACAACACCCAUCCUCGUCCAGACAUCUCUGCCUUUACUGUGACAGUUGAGGUGGUCGAUAGGUGUGAACCCAAACCCUCCCUCAUCUUGGUGGUUAAAGUCAGGUACAGUGGUCACCGGGAUGAGACCAACAUGGUUAUUAUUGACGUCAAACUUCUUUCCGGCUUCAUCCUAGACAAGACCUCAGUGAACCCUAUGAAGACUUCAAAGCGUGUUGAUGAGAAGGAUGGACAUGUGAUCAUCUAUGUAGAACAGCUGAAGCAGAUGGAGACCAUGUCCUACACACUCAUCAUGGUGCAAGACUUUUCUGUCAAGAACCUCCAACCUGCAGUGGUCAAAGUCUACGACUACUACCAGAAAAGUGAGGAGGCAGUUGGUGAGUACAGCUCUACCUGUGCAGAGAGAUGUGUAAC
Long non-coding RNA from Osmerus eperlanus (European smelt), 433 nucleotides. RefSeq lists it as uncharacterized. NCBI's taxonomy places the organism in Eukaryota, Metazoa, Chordata, Actinopteri, Osmeriformes, Osmeridae. The transcript has 6 exons. The record is from RefSeq and is a predicted model, not a curated record.